Molecule: non-coding RNA, 29 nt
Filed under: Homo sapiens (human)
Lineage: Eukaryota; Metazoa; Chordata; Mammalia; Primates; Hominidae
Source: RNAcentral
UGAGCUUUGCGUGAAGGCGGAAGGUGCUA